AUUGAACGCUGGCGGCAUGCCUUACACAUGCAAGUCGAACGGUAACAGGUCUUCGGAUGCUGACGAGUGGCGAACGGGUGAGUAAUACAUCGGAACGUGCCCGAUCGUGGGGGAUAACGGAGCGAAAGCUUUGCUAAUACCGCAUACGAUCUACGGAUGAAAGCAGGGGACCGCAAGGCCUUGCGCGGACGGAGCGGCCGAUGGCAGAUUAGGGUAGUUGGUGGGGAUAAAAGCUUACCAAGCCGACGAUCUGUAGCUGGUCUGAGAGGACGACCAGCCACACUGGGACUGAGACACGGCCCAGACUCCUACGGGAGGCAGCAGUGGGGAAUUUUGGACAAUGGGCGAAAGCCUGAUCCAGCAAUGCCGCGUGCAGGAUGAAGGCCUGGU
This 390-nucleotide ribosomal RNA is filed under the name uncultured bacterium. Its description in RNAcentral is "bacterial SSU rRNA". It matches the Rfam family "Bacterial small subunit ribosomal RNA", at positions 29 to 420 of the family's 1533-position model. The record is from RNAcentral.